RNAcentral lists this ribosomal RNA (492 nucleotides) under uncultured bacterium. Its description in RNAcentral is "partial 16S ribosomal RNA". It matches the Rfam family "Bacterial small subunit ribosomal RNA", at positions 29 to 507 of the family's 1533-position model. The record is from RNAcentral.
AGUGAACGCUGGCGGUAGGCCUAACACAUGCAAGUCGAACGGCAGCACGGUAAGAGCUUGCUCUUACGGGUGGCGAGUGGCGGACGGGUGAGGAAUACAUCGGAAUCUACUUUUUCGUGGGGGAUAACGUAGGGAAACUUACGCUAAUACCGCAUACGACCUACGGGUGAAAGCAGGGGAUCUUCGGACCUUGCGCGAUUGAAUGAGCCGAUGUCGGAUUAGCUAGUUGGCGGGGUAAAGGCCCACCAAGGCGACGAUCCGUAGCUGGUCUGAGAGGAUGAUCAACCACACUGGAACUGAGACACGGUCCAGACUCCUACGGGAGGCAGCAGUGGGGAAUAUUGGACAAUGGGCGCAAGCCUGAUCCAGCCAUACCGCGUGGGUGAAGAAGGCCUUCGGGUUGUAAAGCCCUUUUGUUGGGAAAGAAAAGCAGCAGGUUAAUACCCCGCUGUUCUGACGGUACCCAAAGAAUAAGCACCGGCUAACUUCGUG